RNAcentral lists this small RNA (584 nucleotides) under Pan troglodytes (chimpanzee). RNAcentral describes it as "processed transcript". The record is from RNAcentral. Lineage: Eukaryota; Metazoa; Chordata; Mammalia; Primates; Hominidae.
GUAUCCCGGCGUGCAUCGGGGAGCGCCCAAGGGCGAUGGUUCCCGGCUCCUGGAGAGGCGUGCGAAGUUAAGCCGUCUUAUUGCCAGCAGUUUUGAAGAUGACUCCCGUGUAGCCUCACCAUUAGACCAGAACGGAAGCUUCAAUGUUGUUAUUAAAGAGGAACCUCUAGAUGAUUAUGACUACGAACUUGGUGAGUGCCCAGAAGGGGUCACUGUGAAACAGGAAGAGACAGAUGAAGAGACGGAUGUAUACUCAAACAGUGAUGAUGAUCCUAUACUAGAGAAACAGCUAAAGAGGCACAAUAAAGUUGACAACCCAGAAGCUGACCAUCUAUCUUCUAAAUGGCUUCCAAGCAGCCCAUCAGGUGUUGCUAAAGCUAAAAUGUUCAAAUUAGACACUGGAAAGAUGCCAGUAGUCUAUCUGGAGCCCUGUGCUGUCACCAGAAGCACAGUGAAGAUUUCUGAACUCCCUGAUAACAUGCUUUCCACAUCUCGAAAGGAUAAAUCUUCUAUGUUGGCAGAAUUGGAAUAUUUGCCUACAUACAUUGAAAAUUCCAAUGAGACUGCCUUCUGCUUAGGCAAGG